Long non-coding RNA from Dermacentor andersoni, 863 nucleotides. RefSeq lists it as uncharacterized. NCBI's taxonomy places the organism in Eukaryota, Metazoa, Arthropoda, Arachnida, Ixodida, Ixodidae. The record is from RefSeq and is a predicted model, not a curated record.
CGAAUGCCUUUUUAUACUCGUUAUACUAAGAAUAAAAAAAAUGUUUAAGGCGUUCUCGAGACUGUCCAGUGUUCGAAUAAAACAAUAAUGUAGUUUUCGUGACACGCAAGCUUGUGUCGUAGUUUGUUUAACCACUGAAAACCGUAAAAGGUAAUAUGAAUUAUUUGUGAUAGCAAAAUUGGCAGCAUCGCAACCCAACACUUAGCAAAACUCUUGAGUGGCAACUAGCACCAGAUUUCUUCCGCGAAUUCCUUUGAACACUAGACAAUCCUUGCAAGGCCAAAAAAAAAAAAGGGAGAGGGGGAGGCCUCCUAAUCGCGAUCCACUCGAACUGCGUCUGUAGAUUAAAUGUAGUGACGUCUUGCAGCCACGGUGCACAGAAAGUGCCGUUAUUUUCCACGUCUAAUAAAUAUCCUCGUCGAAUGCAAAGUACGAGGAAAUAAACAAUGCGUGGCCUCGAUAACCUUGCAGGAACAUGCGUUAUAAACAAAAAAAGAAAGAGAGAGAGAAAAGGCCGCGAUGAUUUGCGUGUCACUGUUUUACUAUUAAACACGGAUCAACAACGCUCAAUCGUGCUAUGCGUUUUAUUCAUACAACGUUCUCCUUUUCCUCUUGUUCUUUUUUUUUUCGGCAGAGGAAGGAGAAGGCCCGCUGGCGCAGCUCCCGCAGAAGACACCACGCCGAGAUUCUCGCGGUAGAGAACGUCCUCCGCAUCGAAUCGGUGAGCUACUGUCGGCAGCACAGGCAAGGAGUGGUCCAAAAGCAGACAUUGAUGGCCCUGCUUGCAGCGCUUCAGUAUCCAUACGACAAGAAAAUAUACCUGGACAUCGACAUCAUCAGCUCACUUGUUGAUGUUCCACAAU